UAGGGAAUCUUCGGCAAUGGGGGCAACCCUGACCGAGCAACGCCGCGUGAGUGAAGAAGGUUUUCGGAUCGUAAAGCUCUGUUGUAAGAGAAGAACGUGUGUGAGAGUGGAAAGUUCACACAGUGACGGUAACUUACCAGAAAGGGACGGCUAACUACGUGCCAGCAGCCGCGGUAAUACGUAGGUCCCGAGCGUUGUCCGGAUUUAUUGGGCGUAAAGCGAGCGCAGGCGGUUUAUUAAGUCUGAAGUUAAAGGCAGUGGCUUAACCAGUGUUCGCUUUGGAAACUGUUAAACUUGAGUGCAGAAGGGGAGAGUGGAAUUCCAUGUGUAGCGGUGAAAUGCGUAGAUAUAUGGAGGAACACCGGUGGCGAAAGCGGCUCUCUGGUCUGUAACUGACGCUGAGGCUCGAAAGCGUGGGGAGCAAACAGG
RNAcentral lists this ribosomal RNA (429 nucleotides) under bacterium. Its description in RNAcentral is "partial 16S ribosomal RNA". It matches the Rfam family "Bacterial small subunit ribosomal RNA", at positions 355 to 776 of the family's 1533-position model. The record is from RNAcentral.